This 617-nucleotide long non-coding RNA is filed under the name Heterocephalus glaber (naked mole-rat). RNAcentral's name for it is "lncRNA (ENSHGLG00100043362.1)". The record is from RNAcentral. Lineage: Eukaryota; Metazoa; Chordata; Mammalia; Rodentia; Bathyergidae.
CCAGGGAUUGAACUUGGGACCUUGUGCAUAUGAGGCAGGCGGUGGCACCACUGAGCAAAAUCCCCGGCCCAACAGUUUGAUAUUUUGAAAUCUGUAUGCAAUAUGUGAUGACCAAAUCAGGGGUCUGCAGCAGAACAGCUCAUUGACAUCAUCCUAUGAGAGGGGAUCAAGAUUCUCAAAGUGAGGGUAGUUUUUUGGACUCCCACUGUGGCCACUCUGUGGGGAAGACCACGUGGGAUGGCAAAGGUGAACACGAGGAAGACGGGCUUUGUGGUUGUCAGUGGCAAGGGUUGACGAGAAAGAGCAACGGAGUGCUGUCUUCUACUGAGACGAGGAAGAGCGAAGGAAGAGCAAGCUGUGGUGGGUCCCAGGACUCCUACAUAACUGUGACUGUGUGUCGGGGAAUGACUUAUAUCCUUGUAACACUUGACAUUCUGCAAAAAGAGUUUCGUGUCAGUCUUAUGAGCUGGGUGGAGUGGAUGCUAUUUGUUUCCAUUUUGUGAAUAAAAAACCCCAAGGCUCAGAAAGAGCAAGGCAGUGUAAUAGAUAUGGCUAUUUUGAAACUCGCAUAAGCACAAAAGAAAAUAAAUUGGCUCUUGUGAAGGGGGGCAUCUAAG